UGCAGUCGCACGGACCUUUCGGGGUGAGUGGCGGACGGGUGAGUAUCGCGUAGGGAUCUAUCCACGGGUGGGGGAUAACAUCGGGAAACUGGUGCUAAUACCGCAUGAUACCUGAGGGUCAAAGGCGCAAGUCGCCUGUGGAGGAGCCUGCGUUCGAUUAGCUUGUUGGUGGGGUAAAGGCCUACCAAGGCGAUGAUCGAUAGCUGGUCUGAGAGGAUGAUCAGCCACACUGGGACUGAGACACGGCCCAGACUCCUACGGGAGGCAGCAGUGGGGAAUAUUGGACAAUGGGCGAAAGCCUGAUCCAGCAAUGCCGCGUGUGUGAAGAAGGUCUUCGGAUUGUAAAGCACUUUCGACGGGGACGAUGAUGACGGUACCCGUAGAAGAAGCCCCGGCUAACUUCGUGCCAGCAGCCGCGGUAAUACGAAGGGGGCUAGCGUUGCUCGGAAUGACUGGGCGUAAAGGGCGCGUAGGCGGUUUACACAGUCAGAUGUGAAAUUCCAGGGCUUAACCUUGGGGCUGCAUUUGAUACGUGUAGACUAGAGUGUGAGAGAGGGUUGUGGAAUUCCCAGUGUAGAGGUGAAAUUCGUAGAUAUUGGGAAGAACACCGGUGGCGAAGGCGGCAACCUGGCUCAUUACUGACGCUGAGGCGCGAAAGCGUGGGGAGCAAACAGGAUUAGAUA
This 683-nucleotide ribosomal RNA is filed under the name Asaia sp. PB. Its description in RNAcentral is "bacterial SSU rRNA". It matches the Rfam family "Bacterial small subunit ribosomal RNA", at positions 56 to 784 of the family's 1533-position model. Lineage: Bacteria; Pseudomonadati; Pseudomonadota; Alphaproteobacteria; Acetobacterales; Acetobacteraceae. The record is from RNAcentral.